UACGUAGGUGGCAAGCGUUGUCCGGAAUUACUGGGUGUAAAGGGAGCGCAGGCGGGACUGCAAGUUGGAUGUGAAAUACCGAGGCUCAACCUCGGGGCUGCAUCCAAAACUGUAGUUCUUGAGUGAAGUAGAGGUAGGCGGAAUUCCGAGUGUAGCGGUGAAAUGCGUAGAUAUUCGGAGGAACACCAGUGGCGAAGGCGGCCUACUGGGCUUUAACUGACGCUGAGGCUCGAAAGUGUG
RNAcentral lists this ribosomal RNA (240 nucleotides) under uncultured bacterium. RNAcentral describes it as "partial 16S ribosomal RNA". It matches the Rfam family "Bacterial small subunit ribosomal RNA", at positions 524 to 763 of the family's 1533-position model. The record is from RNAcentral.